UACGUAGGGCGCAAGCGUUGUCCGGAAUUAUUGGGCGUAAAGAGCUCGUAGGUGGCGUGUCGCGUCUGCCGUGAAAGCCCAUGGCUUAACUGUGGGUCUGCGGUGGAUACGGGCAGGCUGGAGGCUGGUAGGGGCAAGCGGAAUUCCUGGUGUAGCGGUGAAAUGCGCAGAUAUCAGGAGGAACACCCGUGGCGAAGGCGGUUCUCUGGGACGGUACUGACGCUGAGACGCGAAAGCGUGGGGAGCGAACAGG
RNAcentral lists this ribosomal RNA (253 nucleotides) under uncultured bacterium. RNAcentral describes it as "partial 16S ribosomal RNA". It matches the Rfam family "Bacterial small subunit ribosomal RNA", at positions 524 to 776 of the family's 1533-position model. The record is from RNAcentral.